Molecule: long non-coding RNA, 633 nt
Organism: Pteropus alecto (black flying fox)
Lineage: Eukaryota; Metazoa; Chordata; Mammalia; Chiroptera; Pteropodidae
Exons: 4
Source: RefSeq, a predicted model, not a curated record
CCGGUUUUCAGGAGCAGAGACCCCCGUCAUUGAUAAGUUUUUUAUUCGUUCCAGGGCCAGGCCUGAGCUCCCCAGAGCAACGACCCAGGCUCUGGCCUACCAUGUUCCCAGCUGUCCCCCAUGCUGUCCGAUGGAUUGAUGGAUGCAGAACACACGGGAUAAAGAUAAUUCUCGACCCACAGUCGGCUUCCGUGAAGGUGGAGGGAGGCUCCCUGAGCACACUUUCAUCUCUGCAUUAAUUAUAAUGGUGGAAAACAGAAAAAUAUCCUCGACGUGCAGCCAAAGAAAACCGGAUGAGAAGGUCAUGGGCAAUCCUUGAGAGAAAAAAUUGUAGCCCUGAGGUACCCAAAAGGAUUGACAGCAGGGACUCAAACGGAGACUUGUACACUCACGUUCAAGGCAGCGUGAUUCACAAGAGCCAAAUGCUGUGUCCACGGACGGAUGACGGAUAAACAACCUGGUCCAUCCACACGAUGGAAUAUUAUUCAGCCUUAAAAAAGAGACAUUUUGACACCUGCUACAACAUGGGUGAACCCUGAGGAUAUUAUGCUCAGUGACACAUCCCAUGUGAUUCUACUCUUGUGAGGUCCCCAGAGGAGUCAGAUUCAGAGAUAGAGAAUAGAUGGUGGGUGA